GAGAGGGGGCCCCCACGGAGCAGCAGGGGGCCCCCACGGAGCAGCAGCGGGCCAAAGGGCUCCUCAAGCCGGCCAGAGCAGACGCCAAGGCCGAGGAAGCGCCCAGAGUGAGCAAGGGCUGCUAGCACGUUGUCAUCUCUCAAUGUCUCAGCAAACUAACACAGGAACAGAAAACCAAACACCGUAUGUUGUCACUCAUAAGUGGGAGUUGACGAUGGAGUCUGGCUCUGUCGCCCAGGCUCGAGGGCUCCAGUACAGUGGUGCAAUCUCAGCUCACUGUAAUAACUGCCUUCCGGGUUCAAGCGAUUCACCUGCCUCAGCCUCCCCAGUAGCUGAUAUCACAGAGCUCUUUUGGCGGAAAUCUUCAAUAGCAGUUUUUCACUAGCCAUCUUAGGCCAAUGCUCAAAGGAGAAGUUCUUCAUAAAUGUGGGAUGGACUGCUCUGAUGGACUCUGCUGUUAGUCUACUUUGAGAGCAACAGAUCAUUCAUGGUUAAGCAUAGAUUUAAAGGCUUAGCUCAAGGAUAUAAAGGAAAAAAGUCGGCCGGGUGUGGUGGCUCACGACUGUAAUCUCAGCACUUUGAGAGGCUAAGGCGGGUGGAUCAGAAAGAAAGAAAGGAAGGAAGGAAGGAAGGAAGGAAGAGAAAGAAAGGGAAUGGGGAUUAGGGAUGUCUACAGCAAGGGACUACAUUAGCAUAUCUACUCAGUACAGAAAUGAAAUUGUCCUUUGUUUUCUAUUUUAGGUCAGAACUAAAGUAGGGUAGGUGGUGUGGUAAGUCAGCUUGGCUCACAGUCUAGUCUAGCCUGGAUUUAUUAGUGAUUGUGAUAAUAUUAUGUGUUCCAUCUGGCGCUGCCAUUCUUUUAUGUCUCAAAUGUUUCAGAAUUCAGAUGGGGAAAAGGUGUAUUGGGCUUUUAAAGCCCUCAUAAGAGAAUAUUUCAUACUAUCAGAAAAAGGUACCACUUCUUCAUAUCUACUUACAAACUAUCUAAUAGAAUUACUUGUGAGUCUGAAUUGCAGUAGCAAUUCUUCCACAUCAACUUUUAAAGAAAAAAAAAAAGAAAAGAAAAAAGAAAAAAAAAUCCCUUAUCAAACACUGCAGGCAACCUCAGGUACUUCAGAAUCAAGAGGCCAUGCUGAGUCAGUGUUUGGAGUUGGGAGAGUGGGCUUUUAAUUCAAUAAGUCAGAGAGGAAAGAAUGCAUAAGGAAAGAGGCCAAAGGGAUUUAUGGUAGAGAAGGAUAGAGCCAACGAAUGAGGGAAUCAGGAAUAUGGAGUGGGAAGCAUUAUGACAGAAGUCCAGAAUGAGACUGAUCUUAUUUACAUGCUUGAGAUGAGGACAAUAGCAAAAAUUGCUCUAACAGGUAUGUUUUAAAGAAGUAGAAAAAUAAGUGGGUGCCAAUUUCACUUCUACAUGGCACUUGCUACCCUUUUCCUGUGAUGAAAAUAGAAAUCAACGUACCCUGAAUCUCCUUUUCUUUUCCCCUAUUUAUAUAAUUAUCAAGGUUUCAUUGAUUGAAUACAUUUACUGAAUUAACUUUUAAUUUGUACAUUAACGUAGUCAAAUCAGACAUCUAAAUAAAAUUAAGUUAAAUCACAUAUAGAAUAAUAGCAUUUUAAUAAUAUUAAAUUUAUACUUUUUUAAAUUUCCUAUUUAAGAAAUUGUUGAAAAUUCAUAUAAUCAUAACAUAUUUUCCCCUUAUUUUGUAUCUUUAAAAAUCUGGGGGAAUAUUUUUAUCUGUGAAUAUGUUCAUUUAUUCUGUCAGUGAAAACAAACUACUUUGGAUUUUUAUUAGAAAAUUUAAGUAGCAAGUUUUCAACUUUCAAAUUUUAUGUUUCUAAUUCAAAAGCUGUAUAUAUGUGUGUGCAUAUGUGUGAGUGUGUAACUAAUAUUCUCUUUAUGUAUUAUUCUAGUAGAUUAUAUUUUAAGUUAUCUAUUCACUUUAAAAGGGAAUAUUAUGGAAAGUUCACCAACUUUCAAAAGAUUCGAGCGAUGUAUAAAAUCUCUUGUUUUACUAGGUGUGGAGUUUUGUAAAGGCCUGAAUUUCAGUGGAAAAAAAUGUUUAAAUAUGCUUUUUUCCAGGAAGCCACUGGAAUCUCUAAAGUGUUCCUGGCUAACUGGGAAAAAAUUGCAGGGAACCAAGAGUAGCAGAUGGAAAGACAGUUGGCCAAACCUACUGCCCAUACUACACUGUUGCCAAAACCCUUGAAAGUAAUAGUCCAUUUUGGAAAUAUUUGCUGGGAGAACAAAUGUUUGCUAAUGAAACAAACAUUUGAAGUGUUAGGAAAUACCCAAAUAAAACAGUUUUGUAGCAGAAAUAAAUAUUUUACUUGAGAAAUCAUUGCCAGAGUAAAUAUGCCAUUUCAAGGUAAAAACAAAACAAAGCAUAAAAGCUAUUAGAGACAGAUCACAAAAUGUAUAAAGAAUGCAGAUUUAAUGGACUUUGUGUAUCUAUAUACCUUUCAAUAUAAUUCAUGUAAUGAUUGAUAUUUCAGCAGCAUAUUUAAACUGCAAAAAAUUUUACUUGAAUAAUAAAAGAAUGGAUAUAUUUGUGCUACAUUGUUUUAACUUAUCUAUACUACUGAAUAUAAAUGAAGCUUAAAAUUGUAUAAAUAAUCUGAAAAAUCAAGGCAAAUUCAACAUCCUUCAAGCAUACUGAGCAAAGGGCUAUGUGUUGAUGCUGUAUGUUGAAAUAAGUUUAUUAUUUGAUUUAAUUUGAUUAAAUUAAGUUCAUGAUUGUCUUAAAUGUGAAUGUUUUUACUUUGCUGAGAUAUUAGGGAGAGAUAUUUAAUAAAAGUAAGUUCAAAAAUUAUGAUCUAGAAAUAAAAGUAACUCAAAUUCUUAAUAUUUCUCUAGGUCCUUUUAAUAUUGGAAGAAUGCUGCUUUUAUUAUCUGACUUUAUCUUUAUGAUGGGUUAAUUCUUACAUAGCUCUUUUUUGAGAAGUAUAAAUAUGUAGAAUUUUGAAGGUAAUGAAGGAAUUUAAAAUCAAUGUAGUUCAAUCUGCUCACUAAUUACAGAUGGGCAAAUUGAGUUCUAGAAAGGUUAAGCUAUUAGCCCAAAUCAUAUAACAAAUUAGUCACACUACCAGGACAAGACUCUCAGUCUCCUAAUUCUUAGAGCAAAAUUUUUAAAUGUAAGGUUAUUAUUUUGUUUUGUCCUUCUUUAUGCCAUUUUCUCUACAUUCUAGGAGAUCAGAGUAAAAUUUCAUGUGACAGUAUAUUAAAAUUAGAUAUAUACACUUUCAAGAUUUUUUGAUCAUUGUUAUCUACUUUAUAAACUGAUGAGGAAGUACAAUUAAAUCUAAAACAGUGAAAUAAUGAAAUUCUCUUUAAAUUUUCGUAUUUAACACUCUUUCAGAAAAAUAAUGAAGCUCUGGAUUUAAUGCAAACUUCAUAAAUGUUUUUUCUUGUUUCAUUUGAACAUACACAUACAAUGUAUAAUUCAGUAAAUUAAGUUUAAGGUCCUGUGAAGUACAAAAUUAAUAUUGCUGAAGAGAGGUCUGGCAUUUUCCUUCAUUUCCUGGGAGGUAAUCUCUAAGCACAUGGAAUAUGCUUAGAUAGGAGUGCCUUAUAAGAAUGCCUUUGUUUACCUUCAAGACUUGGGGAAUCCUAAAUACUCUAUGCUAACCAUGUGACUUACAGUGCAGGCUUUGGACUAUCUGGUAAUAUCUUGACCUCUGGAGGGGAUGGGGACAAAGGCUGGUCAUGCGGGAAGUCUACCAAAAUUUGUGACUGAUCAUCAAUAGAAGCUCUGGACACCAAGGCCUGGAUGAUCUUCAUUAGUUGGUAGUAUUCCAUGGGUGUCAUCACACAUCAAUGAGAAAAGAAAAAUCAUUGUUUUGCAUAACUUCACUGGGAGAAACUAGAAGUUGUCCUCCACCGAGAAGACCACCAGAAGCUCAUGCUCGAAAACCUCUUGGGUCCCACCCUGUGCACUCUCUCCUUGAAUGAUUUUAAUUGGUAUCCUUUCACUAUAAUAAACUGUCAC
RNAcentral lists this long non-coding RNA (3983 nucleotides) under Homo sapiens (human). RNAcentral's name for it is "HSALNT0374408". The record is from RNAcentral. Lineage: Eukaryota; Metazoa; Chordata; Mammalia; Primates; Hominidae.